UCUCGGGGUCGUGGUCAUCCUCGGCGUGCUGCCCCCGCCUCGGGAGCCCCUCCUCCUGGAGCUCCUUCCACUCCUGCUCCUCCUCUUCUGUGGCCGUUGCGUGUACAGUUUCCCCUGCGCUUUGGCGGGCGACGAGGCGGGAGGAGGGCCUGAGCCCAGGGAGUACGCGUGCGCGCGGAGUCGCUGUCGCGGUUGGGAGCGGUAGCGCGGAGACGGUGGGGAGCAUCCUGGUGAGGGAGGAUUUGAUUGCUGGCUGCUGAUACCCUGCUGGUGGUACUGAGGAGAUUGUGAGGCGCGUGUUCCAGCCUCUAGAACCGCCGCGCCGCCUGGACGAACGGGGCGGCACGUCGGAGGUUGCGGAACGAGGACUGGGGGAACUCGGGAGCGUACCAG
This 393-nucleotide ribosomal RNA is filed under the name Triticum aestivum (bread wheat). Its description in RNAcentral is "partial small subunit ribosomal RNA". Lineage: Eukaryota; Viridiplantae; Streptophyta; Magnoliopsida; Poales; Poaceae. The record is from RNAcentral.